Long non-coding RNA from Dreissena polymorpha, 1305 nucleotides. RefSeq lists it as uncharacterized. The transcript is spliced from 5 exons. The record is from RefSeq and is a predicted model, not a curated record. Lineage: Eukaryota; Metazoa; Mollusca; Bivalvia; Myida; Dreissenidae.
UGUUGGAUAAUGUUUAAUUUAUCAUUCACGUUUUACAUAUGAUUCUGUUUAAACCAUAUUUAAUCGAUGUUUUGGUGAAUUUCGCGCAUGCUUAACUUGCCUGAUUUCGGACGUAAUUUACUUUCGGAUACAUGCUCCUCUUGUGUUUUUUUUCGAUGUUUUCUUAUGUAUGCAGAUUAAAAAAAACAGCUCAUGCUUAAAUGUGUUAUUGAGCAAGUGACUUCUUUAUGCUAUGGCAGGAAUAAAAAAAACUGUUAUAAAAUUAUAAAGGAAGUUUAGUUACAUGUAUAAACUCACAGUCACAAGUGUGUAAGUAUUACUGUUACAUUUAUUUAUAUUUUCUAAAAGUAAAUAUAUGCUCACAUAUCAGUAAGUAUUGUACAGCCCUAAAUUAUAUUUAAUACACCCAUCUAGGCAGUUAAUUCAUAUAUGUGCUGGCUUUAAUUUACAUUCAUGUUAUUAUCACCCUGCAAUAGGCGGAGGGAUAUUGUUUUGGCCUUGUCCGCCCGUCUUUCCGUCCAUCCGGCACUUUUGUGUUGGGAGCCAUAUCUUGGAAGUGCUUUGGUGGAUUUCAUUGAAACUUGGUAUGAGUAUAUGUAUAGAUAAGAGGAUGAUGCAUGCCAAAUGGCAUUGUACACUAUCUGUUAAUAACGGAGUUAUGGCCCUUCGAACCUAAAAAAAUGCUUUUUUACCUGAGUGUCAAAUAUAACACUUUUGUGUCCAGAAGCUAAUUAGCGGGGGAUAUCAAUUCAAUGAAUUUGCUUGUUAUUAAUUGAAGGGAAAUAAACCUGUUAUUUUGUCUGUCAUUAUGGUGUUUAAAGUCACAUUUAAUGGCAUCCAACCUACUUUAUUUCAAAUACAGUAACACCUGGCGCAGUGACCUGGAUGCAGAUUCUAAGCAGAUGGGCCAAAAUGGGGGCAGCUAGAGAGACUCGCCUGGAACUGACAAGCCUGGAGGGAGCUGGUUGUCUGUUGGCGAGAUGGGACAACAGACGAAGAAUAAACGAACCUACUUGAUUUGAUAAACAUUUUUAUGUUUUUCAGUUUCGUCGGAAGACAUUUCCCACCAACCAUCCUGUCUUGAAAGAAAUAACUUUUGAACCCGAUUAUCUGAUAUUUUCCAGUUUCCCCUCACAACAAUUUGCAUCAAACCUCUUGUCUGCUCCUCAGCUGAAAUCAUCAUCUAGCAGUCACAAUAGUUGAGCGGUUGGAGAGGCAUGCAUUGCGUCCUACUACUGCUCAGACUAUAUUAUGUUUGGCAGACAAAACAUGCUGAUCAAAAAGAAUGUGUACCACAGGGGCCAG